UACGUAGGGUGCGAGCGUUGUCCGGAAUUACUGGGCGUAAAGCGCGCGUAGGCGGCUUUGUAAGUUAGAGGUGAAAGCCCGGGGCUCAACCCCGGAAUUGCCUUUAAGACUGCAUCGCUUGAAUCCGGGAGAGGUGAGUGGAAUUCCGAGUGUAGAGGUGAAAUUCGUAGAUAUUCGGAAGAACACCAGUGGCGAAGGCGGCUCACUGGACCGGCAUUGACGCUGAGGUGCGAAAGCGUGGGGAGCAAACAGG
This 253-nucleotide ribosomal RNA is filed under the name uncultured bacterium. RNAcentral's name for it is "partial 16S ribosomal RNA". It matches the Rfam family "Bacterial small subunit ribosomal RNA", at positions 524 to 776 of the family's 1533-position model. The record is from RNAcentral.